Molecule: ribosomal RNA, 253 nt
Filed under: uncultured bacterium
Lineage: Bacteria
Description: partial 16S ribosomal RNA
Rfam family: Bacterial small subunit ribosomal RNA
Source: RNAcentral
UACGGAGGGUGCAAACGUUGCUCGGAAUCAUUGGGCGUAAGGCGCACGUAGGCGGCCGAUUAAGUCGGGUGUGAAAGCCCCGGGCUCAACCCGGGAAGUGCAUACGAAACUGGUCGGCUUGAAUAUGGAAGAGGGUCGCGGAAUUCCCGGUGUAGAGGUGAAAUUCGUAGAUAUCGGGAGGAACACCAGUGGCGAAGGCGGCGACCUGGGCCAAUAUUGACGCUGAGGUGCGAAAGCGUGGGGAGCAAACAGG